This 732-nucleotide long non-coding RNA is filed under the name Nicotiana benthamiana. RNAcentral's name for it is "long non-coding RNA (NBEN_LNC015647)". Lineage: Eukaryota; Viridiplantae; Streptophyta; Magnoliopsida; Solanales; Solanaceae. The record is from RNAcentral.
UCCACCAAGCUGAACAUUGGCAGUUCAUAUUCAGACAACUUCUCUCCGGAUAGUCAGAGCAGUGUACAUUUUUGGGACAAUGAGCUGGUUACAAAACCUGGUUCCAGCUCCUUGACAAAAGUUUGUGUCAAUUCUUUCCAGCUAUUUGGUAAGGUCAUCCAUGUUGAACCUGUUGAAGGAGGUUUUGAUGGUUUCGGUUGCUCUGAAAAUGAUAGCAUUGAAGCGUUUAAACAGAUAGAUGGUGCAGUCAAGUCUAACAUUUCUCUGAGUAAACCUUAUAUCGAGCUGUUUGACAGUCUUGAUGUCCAACACCAAAGAGCCUCAGCUGUCGAAGCAUGUUCCUUAUGAGAUAGCUAUGAUCCGUAAGUACCAUCAAUCGGAAAGCUGUACAGGUAAAGUACUACUUGACUGGACUAUGCCUUGACAGAACAGAAAGAGCUACUAGAACUUGCAGAUUGAUAUCUUUACACUUUCUACUAUAUAUUAAUUAUUCAUUUCUGGUUCAUUUUAUUUAUAUCUGAAGAUAUGAGAUUUUCGAGUACUGACAAUGAGCUGGUUGCAAAACCGGGUUCCAGCUCCUUGACAAAAGUUCGUGUCAACUCUUUCCAGCUAUUUGGUAAGGUCAUCCAUGUUGAACCUGUUGAAGGAGGUUUUGAUGGUUUCGGUUGCUCUGAAAAUGAUAGCAUUGAAGUGUUUAAAGAGAUAGAUGGUGCAGCCAAGUCUAACAUUUCU